CUGGUUCUUGUGUAUAAGCUGGCCGGCCACCUCCAGGGUUGCAGAGCAGGAGAAGCUGCGCCCGUUGUCCUCUGGGGUGGCCUUCAGCAGGAGCUGGGCCCUCGGGCCCAGUGGCUGGGCUGGAACCCCAUUCAGCGUCACCUUGGCUCUAGGGUGGGCCUCACACUUCACUGUCACCUCGGUCCCUUCUGAGACCUCUGGCUUCGUCAGAAUCACGUUGGGCGCCGGAAAGCCUGGAAUAGGCACACAGUGAGCCCCGCCCCGGGUUCAGGUCACACCCCCAAGAAGCCCCACUCCGCCCCUGCCCCUUCUUACUGUAGAUGGUCACUGUCUGCAGUGUCUCCUGGCUCUGGUUCCCCAGUAUUACUGCACACGUCAGCCGCUGGGUGCCCUCGUCCUCUGCGGUCACACUGACUGAGGCCUUGGCCGAGAAGGAGUCGUUGCCAUAGGUGACUGUGGGGUUCAACCUCUGGUCCCCCAGUGCCAGGUGGACCUGGGCCUCCGAGACUGGGAACAGCCCGUCCAGGGAACAGACCACGGUCCCCUGCGUGUCCACCUCUAGGACCCGGGGGCUGACAAGUUGUGGGGGAGUCGCUGGCAGGACUAGGGAGAGAAGAAAGGUCUGGAGCUGGUAGGGGGCCGAGGUGUUCUCAAACAGCUCCAGCCCUUGGGGCCGCAGGUCCAGUUCAGUGCGGCACGAGAAAUUGGCUCCAUGGUGAUCUCUCCUCACCAGCACCGUGGUCGUGACCUCAGCGGGCUCCCCCACAGCUGGCUCCCGUUUCAGCUCCUUCUCCCCACGGAGCAGCACCACGGUGAGGUUGGCCCGGGGUGCCCCACCCUCCACCUGGCAGCGUAGGGUAAGGUUCUUGCCCACUGGCUGCCAAGAGGGGAGGGGUGCCAGUUCCACCCGUUCUGGAGUCCCUUACACGGUGAGGAAGGUUUUAGCUGUUGACUGCCCAUCAGGGCAGUUUGAAUAGCACAUUGGUUGGCUAUCUUCUUGCACAUUGCUCAGUUCAUACACCUUCCGGUUGUUCCCAGGCAGGAGCAACUCCUUUUUAGGCAACGGGGUCUCUAUGCCCAACAACUUGGGCUGGUCACAGGAGGUGCUGCAUGUCACCAGCACGGAGCCUCCCCGGGGCAGGAUGACUUUUGAGGGGGACACAGAUGUCUGGGCAUUGCCAGGUC
Molecule: long non-coding RNA, 1185 nt
Filed under: Homo sapiens (human)
Lineage: Eukaryota; Metazoa; Chordata; Mammalia; Primates; Hominidae
Description: non-protein coding lnc-ZGLP1-4:3
Source: RNAcentral